This 253-nucleotide ribosomal RNA is filed under the name uncultured bacterium. RNAcentral describes it as "partial 16S ribosomal RNA". It matches the Rfam family "Bacterial small subunit ribosomal RNA", at positions 524 to 776 of the family's 1533-position model. The record is from RNAcentral.
UACGGAGGGUGCGAGCGUUAAUCGGAAUAACUGGGCGUAAAGGGCACGCAGGCGGACCUUUAAGUGAGGUGUGAAAGCCCCGAGCUUAACUUGGGAAUUGCAUCUGAAACUGGUUGGCUAGAGUCUUGUAGAGGGGGGUAGAAUUCCAUGUGUAGCGGUGAAAUGCGUAGAGAUGUGGAGGAAUACCAGUGGCGAAGGCGGCCCCCUGGACAAAGACUGACGCUCAGGUGCGAAAGCGUGGGGAGCAAACAGG